Tarenaya hassleriana is the source of this 134-nucleotide long non-coding RNA. RefSeq lists it as uncharacterized. The record is from RefSeq and is a predicted model, not a curated record. The transcript has 3 exons. Lineage: Eukaryota; Viridiplantae; Streptophyta; Magnoliopsida; Brassicales; Cleomaceae.
GAUUCUGAUGAAAAUGCCCAUAAAGGCAUGGUAAAAUCAAAGGUGAGAGAGUCUGUGGUUUGUGUCUCAUUUGUUACAAGAAGAAGAAGCAAUGCAAUCCGUGCGUCGAAAGAGCUUUCGGAGACGGGAAAAGG